This 634-nucleotide ribosomal RNA is filed under the name uncultured archaeon. RNAcentral's name for it is "bacterial SSU rRNA". It matches the Rfam family "Archaeal small subunit ribosomal RNA", at positions 131 to 724 of the family's 1478-position model. The record is from RNAcentral.
CUCGGGAACUGAGGAUAAUACUGUAUAAGGAAAUCCAACUGGAAUGUGUAUUUCCUAAAACGCAAGGUCUAAGGAUGAGUCGGCGGCGGAUUAGGUUGUUGGCGAGGUAAUGCAGCGCAAAACAAAGUUUUGCUGGGUGCAAAGCUAGCGCUUUACACGCUCACCAAGCCGAAGAUCCGUAGGGGCCUUGAGAGAGGUAGCCCCGAGAAGGGCACUGAGAUACUGGCCCUAGCUCCACGGAGUGCAGCAGGCGCGAAACCUUUACAAUGCACGAAAGUGUGAUAAGGGGACCCUAAGUGAUGUUGCAAUGCAACAUCUUUUGCUAAGGGCAAAAACCUUAGCGAAUAAGUGGUGGGCAAUACCUGUGCCAGCCGCCGCGGUAACCCAGGAGCCACAAGUGGCAAUCACCUUUAUUGGGCCUAAAGCGUCCGUAGCCGGUCUUGUAAAUUUUCUGUGAAAUCGUUGUGCUUAACGCAACGGCGUGCAGAAAACACUGUAAGACUUGGGACCGGGAGGAGUUAGGGGUAUUUCUGGGGGAGCGGUAAAAUGCUAUAAUCCCAGAAGGACCACCUGUGGCGAAGGCGCCUAACUAGAACGGAUCCGACGGUGAGGGACGAAAGCUAGGGGAGCAAUC